CCUACGGGAGGCUGCAGUGGGGAAUAUUGCACAAUGGGUGCAAGCCUGAUGCAGCCAUGCCGCGUGUGUGAAGAAGGCCUUCGGGUUGUAAAGCACUUUCAGCGGGGAGGAAGGCGGUGAGGUUAAUAACCUCAUCGAUUGACGUUACCCGCAGAAGAAGCACCGGCUAACUCCGUGCCAGCAGCCGCGGUAAUACGGAGGGUGCAAGCGUUAAUCGGAAUUACUGGGCGUAAAGCGCACGCAGGCGGUCUGUCAAGUCGGAUGUGAAAUCCCCGGGCUCAACCUGGGAACUGCAUUCGAAACUGGCAGGCUAGAGUCUUGUAGAGGGGGGUAGAAUUCCAGGUGUAGCGGUGAAAUGCGUAGAGAUCUGGAGGAAUACCGGUGGCGAAGGCGGCCCCCUGGACAAAGACUGACGCUCAGGUGCGAAAGCGUGGGGAGCAAACAGGAUUAGAUACCCCGGUAGUC
Molecule: ribosomal RNA, 465 nt
Filed under: uncultured Klebsiella sp.
Lineage: Bacteria; Pseudomonadati; Pseudomonadota; Gammaproteobacteria; Enterobacterales; Enterobacteriaceae
Description: bacterial SSU rRNA
Rfam family: Bacterial small subunit ribosomal RNA
Source: RNAcentral